AGUCGACGUGCGCCCUUGCGCACGUGGCGUACGGCUCAGUAACGCGUGGCUAACCUGCCCUCGUGACGGGGAUAACCUCGGGAAACUGAGGAUAAUCCCCGAUAGGCGAGCGGCUUUGGAAGAACCGCUCACCGAAAGGGACGGAGGGAAUGGCCUUCGUCCGCGCGAGGAUGGGGCUGCGUCCCAUCUGGCAGUUGGUGGGGUAAUGGCCCACCAAACCUAUAACGGGUACGGGCCGUGAGAGCGGGAGCCCGGAGAUGGGCACUGAGACAAGGGCCCAGGCUCUACGGAGCGCACCAAGCGCGAAACCUUCGCAAUGCGGGAAACCGUGACGGGGCCAUCCCGAGUGCAGGCUGCUGAGGCCUGCUUUUGCCCAGUGUAAGAAGCUGGGCGAAUAAGUGGGGGGCAAGACUGGUGUCAGCCGCCGCGGUAAUACCAGCUCCACGAGUGGUCAGGACGGUUAUUGGGCCUAAAGCGUCCGUAGCCGGCCCGGUAAGUUUAUGGUGAAAUCCCGNCAUCUCAAGUGUCGGANCGCUGUUAAAUACUGCCCGGGCUAGGA
RNAcentral lists this ribosomal RNA (559 nucleotides) under uncultured archaeon. Its description in RNAcentral is "bacterial SSU rRNA". It matches the Rfam family "Archaeal small subunit ribosomal RNA", at positions 56 to 597 of the family's 1478-position model. The record is from RNAcentral.